This is a non-coding RNA of Podarcis lilfordi (Lilford's wall lizard), 75 nucleotides long. NCBI's taxonomy places the organism in Eukaryota, Metazoa, Chordata, Lepidosauria, Squamata, Lacertidae. The record is from the annotation of a GenBank genome assembly.
GGAAGGGCCAUAGCUCAGUGGUAGAGCAGUUGCUUUGCAUGCAGACUGUCCCAGGCUUAAUGCCUGGCAUUUUCA